RNAcentral lists this ribosomal RNA (506 nucleotides) under uncultured bacterium. RNAcentral's name for it is "partial 16S ribosomal RNA". It matches the Rfam family "Bacterial small subunit ribosomal RNA", at positions 29 to 523 of the family's 1533-position model. The record is from RNAcentral.
AGUGAACGCUGGCGGUAGGCCUAACACAUGCAAGUCGAACGGCAGCACAGGAGAGCUUGCUCUCUGGGUGGCGAGUGGCGGACGGGUGAGGAAUACAUCGGAAUCUACUUUUUCGUGGGGGAUAACGUAGGGAAACUUACGCUAAUACCGCAUACGACCUACGGGUGAAAGCAGGGGGCCUUCGGGCCUUGCGCGAUUGAAUGAGCCGAUGUCGGAUUAGCUAGUUGGCGGGGUAAAGGCCCACCAAGGCGACGAUCCGUAGCUGGUCUGAAAGGAUGAUCAGCCACACUGGAACUGGGACACGGUCCAGACGCCUACGGGAGGCAGCAGUGGGGAAUAUUGGACAAUGGGCGCAAGCCUGAUCCAGCCAUACCGCGUGGGUGAAGAAGGCCUUCGGGUUGUAAAGCCCUUUUGUUGGGAAAGAAAUCCAGCUGGCUAAUACCCGGUUGGGAUGACGGUACCCAAAGAAUAAGCACCGGCUAACUUCGUGCCAGCCGCCGCCGUAA